CCUACGGGUGGCAGCAGUGAGGAAUAUUGGUCAAUGGUCGGGAGACUGAACCAGCCAAGCCGCGUGAGGGAGGAAGGUACAGAGUAUCGUAAACCUCUUUUGUCAGGGAACAAAGGCGGGGACGUGUCCCCGGAUGAGUAGACCGGAAGAAAAAGCAUCGGCUAACUCCGUGCCAGCAGCCGCGGUAAUACGGAGGAUUCAAGCGUUAUCCGGAUUUAUUGGGUUUAAAGGGUGCGUAGGCGGUCGGAUAAGUUAGUGGUGAAAUCCCGAGGCUCAACUUCGGAAUUGCCGCUGAUACUGUGCGUUUAGAGAGUAGUUGCGGUAGGGGGAAGGUAUGGUGUAGCGGUGAAAUGCUUAGAGAUCAUACAGAACACCGAUUGCGAAGGCAGCUUACCAAGCUACUUCUGACGUUGAGGCACGAAAGCGUGGGGAGCAAACAGGAUUAGAUACCCCAGUAGUC
RNAcentral lists this ribosomal RNA (460 nucleotides) under uncultured bacterium. RNAcentral's name for it is "partial 16S ribosomal RNA". It matches the Rfam family "Bacterial small subunit ribosomal RNA", at positions 338 to 795 of the family's 1533-position model. The record is from RNAcentral.